UCUAAAGGAUACAAAUUAGACAAACUGUAACAGGAACGUACAACAUGAUGUGCCGGUUUUACCUAAUUCCUUUGGACUUAAGUAUUCACAAUGUAAAUCCAUUGCCACCCCAGAAUUUCCAUCUAUAGGAACCUGCAAGUUACAUUUCCUAGCGUUAUUUUCGGCCAUCCCGGCUUUAUAGUUGUAAAAAGGCCGAAAUCCGAGAUGAAAGGCCAGCCCGUCCGUAUCCCUUGCCUCGCCUCAGCCCCCUGCCGCAGCUCGCCGUUUCCUUUAUCUUCCUUUCUCUAACUCUCCAUACGGCUUUCGCUUUUGCUCUAACACUUGAAGAGAAACACUUCCACCAGCAGCCAAUGGGAAGGAGGAUCAUUCUGAUGUGAAAAACAGAAGGUUUGCUUUCAAAGAUGGACCACCUCACUACUCUUCAGGAACCUAUCCCUGCCAUGCUGUCCUGCCCUGAACAAGAUCUCUUAAAAUGAGCUUUCCUGCAAUCUGAUAUACCUUAUUGGAUGAUAUAUCAGUCAUAUUUCUGCUGCUAAAUUUGGCAGUGUUGGGAAUUCCAUCUUUUAAUACAGCAAUUGGGGUGUGUUUAUGAGUGAAUAGGUUUUCAUUUCAUUUGUUACCCAAGGCUGUGAUAUGUACAGUUUUCAAGAUGUUUCUUACCUUCAAAUGUGCUGUUGGCACUGGACAGAAAACUCUGAAACUGAAGACAAAGGAAAGAAAAAAGUGGUUAAAGACACUUUAAUAGAAUUCAAUAAAAGAAAACGUUAGUGUACA
This is a long non-coding RNA of Brienomyrus brachyistius, 774 nucleotides long. RefSeq lists it as uncharacterized. The record is from RefSeq and is a predicted model, not a curated record. The transcript is spliced from 2 exons. NCBI's taxonomy places the organism in Eukaryota, Metazoa, Chordata, Actinopteri, Osteoglossiformes, Mormyridae.